AACUAGCAUAUCAAUAAGCGGAGGAAAAGAAACCAACAGGGAUUGCCCUAGUAACGGCGAGUGAAGCGGCAACAGCUCAAAUUUGAAAUCUGGCCCUCUCGGGGUCCGAGUUGUAAUUUGCAGAGGGUGCUUUGGCGUUGGCUGUGGUCUAAGUUCCUUGGAACAGGACGUCACAGAGGGUGAGAAUCCCGUACGUGGCCGCCAGCCUCCGCCGUGUAAAGCCCCUUCGACGAGUCGAGUUGUUUGGGAAUGCAGCUCUAAAUGGGAGGUAAAUUUCUUCUAAAGCUAAAUAUUGGCCAGAGACCGAUAGCGCACAAGUAGAGUGAUCGAAAGAUGAAAAGCACUUUGGAAAGAGAGUCAAAAAGCACGUGAAAUUGUUGAAAGGGAAGCGCUUGCAGCCAGACUUGCCCGCAGUUGCUCACCCAGGCUCCCGCCUGGUGCACUCUUCUGCGGGCAGGCCAGCAUCAGUUUGGGCGGUUGGAUAAAAGCCUGCUAAAUGUACCUCUCCUCGGGGAGGACUUAUAGGGUAGGUGGCAUACAACCAGCCCGGAUUGAGGUCCGCGCAUCUGCUAGGAUGCUGGCGUAAUGGCUGUAAGCGGCCCGUCUUGAAACACGGACCAAGGAGUCUAACAUCUAUGCGAGUGUUUGGGUGUCAAGCCCGGGCGCGUAAUGAAAGUGAACGGAGGUGGGAACCCUUUGGGUGCACCAUCGACCGAUCCUGAUGUCUUCGGAUGGAUUUGAGUAAGAGCAUAGCUGUUGGGACCCGAAAGAUGGUGAACUAUGCCUGAAUAGGGUGAAGCCAGAGGAAACUCUGGUGGAGGCUCGCAGCGGUUCUGACGUGCAAAUCGAUCGUCAAAUUUGGGCAUAGGGGCGAAAGACUAAUCGAACUAUCUAGUAGCUGGUUCCUGCCG
Molecule: ribosomal RNA, 911 nt
Filed under: Neomassarina chromolaenae
Lineage: Eukaryota; Fungi; Ascomycota; Dothideomycetes; Pleosporales
Description: partial large subunit ribosomal RNA
Rfam family: Eukaryotic large subunit ribosomal RNA
Source: RNAcentral